RNAcentral lists this ribosomal RNA (496 nucleotides) under uncultured bacterium. RNAcentral's name for it is "partial 16S ribosomal RNA". It matches the Rfam family "Bacterial small subunit ribosomal RNA", at positions 28 to 507 of the family's 1533-position model. The record is from RNAcentral.
GAUGAACGCUGGCGGCGUGCCUAAUACAUGCAAGUUGAGCGACGGAGGAUGGUACUUGUCCCCAUUGGAUGAGCGGCGAACGGGUAAGUAACGCGUGGGGAACCUGCCUUUGAGCUGGGGUCAACUUGGGGAACCGGAGGCUAAUACGGCAUAAAAAUUUUAACCACAAGUUUAAUGUUUGAAAGAUGUUUUUGCUUCACUUAAAGAUUGUUCCGCGGCGGAUUAGCUAGUUGGUGAGGUAAAGGCUUACCAAGGCAACGAUUCUUAACCGCCCUGAGAGGGUGACCGGCCACACUGGACCGGAGCCCCGCUCCAGACUCUUACGGGAGGCAGCAGUAGGGAAUCUUGCGCAAUGGGCGAAAGCCUGCCGGAGCAACGCCGCGUGAGUGAUGAAGGUCUUCGGAUCGUAAAACCCUGUUAUUAGGGAAGAACAAAUGUGUAAGUAACUGCGCACCUAUUGACGGUAACUACUCAGAAAGCCACGGCUAACUACGUG